This 461-nucleotide ribosomal RNA is filed under the name uncultured bacterium. RNAcentral describes it as "partial 16S ribosomal RNA". It matches the Rfam family "Bacterial small subunit ribosomal RNA", at positions 29 to 523 of the family's 1533-position model. The record is from RNAcentral.
AGCUAACGCUGGCGGCAUGCCUAACACAUGCAAGUCGAACGGAAAUUUAGCUUCGGUUAAGUUUUAGUGGCAAACGGGUGAGUAACGCGUGGGAAUCUACCCUUUGGUGGGGGAUAACUGGAGGAAACUUCGGCUAAUACCGCAUAACCUUGGAAACAAGGAAAGAUUUAUCGCCAAAGGAGGAGCCUGCGUCAGAUUAGGUAGUUGGUGGGGUAAUGGCCUACCAAGCCUGUGAUCUGUAGCUGGUCUGAGAGGAUGAUCAGCCACACUGGGACUGAGACACGGCCCAGACUCCUACGGGAGGCAGCAGUGGGGAAUAUUGGACAAUGGGGGAAACCCUGAUCCAGCAAUGCCGCGUGAAUGAAGAAGGCCUUCGGGUUGUAAAGUUCUUUCGCCUGUGACGAUAGUGACGGUAGCAGGAAAAGAAGUCCCGGCUAACUCCGUGCCAGCCGCCGCAGUAA